This 193-nucleotide ribosomal RNA is filed under the name Neisseria meningitidis. RNAcentral's name for it is "partial 23S ribosomal RNA". It matches the Rfam family "Bacterial large subunit ribosomal RNA", at positions 1 to 187 of the family's 2925-position model. Lineage: Bacteria; Pseudomonadati; Pseudomonadota; Betaproteobacteria; Neisseriales; Neisseriaceae. The record is from RNAcentral.
GGAGGCGGCAUCGAGGAUGCUGUGUUGCUGUUCCAAAAGUUUGGCGACGGUCUCGGCGGAUUGGCGGUAAGCCUGCGAAAAGCGCGGGGGAGCUGGCAAUAAAGCAAUGAUUCCGCGAUGUCCGAAUGGGGGAACCCACUGCAUUCUGUGCAGUAUCCUAAGUUGAAUACAUAGACUUAGAGAAGCGAACCCG